Molecule: ribosomal RNA, 425 nt
Filed under: uncultured cyanobacterium
Lineage: Bacteria; Bacillati; Cyanobacteriota
Description: bacterial SSU rRNA
Rfam family: Bacterial small subunit ribosomal RNA
Source: RNAcentral
GGGGAAUUUUCCGCAAUGGGCGAAAGCCUGACGGAGCAAGACCGCGUGGGGGAAGAAGGCUCUUGGGUUGUAAACCCCUUUUCUCUGGGAAGAAGAACUGACGGUACCAGAGGAAUAAGCCUCGGCUAACUCCGUGCCAGCAGCCGCGGUAAGACGGAGGAGGCAAGCGUUAUCCGGAUUUAUUGGGCGUAAAGCGUCCGUAGGUGGUUGUUCAAGUCUGCUGUCAAAGCGCGAGGCUUAACUUCGUAAAGGCAGUGGAAACUGAGCGACUUGAGAAUGAUAGGGGCAGAGGGAAUUCCCAGUGUAGCGGUGAAAUGCGUAGAGAUUGGGAAGAACACCGGUGGCGAAAGCGCUCUGCUAGACCACAACUGACACUCACAGGACGAAAGCUAGGGGAGCGAAAGGGAUUAGAUACCCCUGUAGUC